RNAcentral lists this ribosomal RNA (603 nucleotides) under uncultured fungus. Its description in RNAcentral is "eukaryotic LSU rRNA". It matches the Rfam family "Eukaryotic large subunit ribosomal RNA", at positions 23 to 641 of the family's 3401-position model. Lineage: Eukaryota; Fungi. The record is from RNAcentral.
ACCCGCUGAACUUAAGCAUAUCAAUAAGCGGAGGAAAAGAAACCAACAGGGAUUGCCUUAGUAACGGCGAGUGAAGCGGCAACAGCUCAAAUUUGAAAUCUGGCCUCUUUGGGGUCCGAGUUGUAAUUUGCAGAGGGCGCUUUGGCGUUGGCAGCGGUCCAAGUUCCUUGGAACAGGACGUCACAGAGGGUGAGAAUCCCGUACGUGGUCGCUAGCCUUCGCCAUGUAAAGCCCCUUCGACGAGUCGAGUUGUUUGGGAAUGCAGCUCUAAAUGGGAGGUAAAUUUCUUCUAAAGCUAAAUACUGGCCAGAGACCGAUAGCGCACAAGUAGAGUGAUCGAAAGAUGAAAAGCACUUUGGAAAGAGAGUCAAACAGCACGUGAAAUUGUUGAAAGGGAAGCGCUUGCAGCCAGACUUGCCUGUAGUUGCUCAUCCGGGCUUUUGCCCGGUGCACUCUUCUGCGGGCAGGCCAGCAUCAGUUUGGGCGGUUGGAUAAAGGUCUCUGUCAUGUACCUCUCUUCGGGGAGGCCUUAUAGGGGAGACGACAUGCAACCAGCCCAGACUGAGGUCCGCGCAUUUGCUAGGAUGCUGGCGUAAUGGCUGU